AGUGAACGCUGGCGGUAGGCCUAACACAUGCAAGUCGAACGGCAGCACAGUAAGAGCUUGCUCUUACGGGUGGCGAGUGGCGGACGGGUGAGGAAUACAUCGGAAUCUACUUUUUCGUGGGGGAUAACGUAGGGAAACUUACGCUAAUACCUCAUACGACCUACGGGUGAAAGCAGGGGAUCUUCGGACCUUGCGCGAUUGAAUGAGCCGAUGUCGGAUUAGCUAGUUGGCGGGGUAAAGGCCCACCAAGGCGACGAUCCGUAGCUGGUCUGAGAGGAUGAUCAGCCACACUGGAACUGAGACACGGUCCAGACUCCUACGGGAGGCAGCAGUGGGGAAUAUUGGACAAUGGGCGCAAGCCUGAUCCAGCCAUACCGCGUGGGUGAAGAAGGCCUUCGGGUUGUAAAGCCCUUUUGUUGGGAAAGAAAAGCAGCAGGUUAAUACCCCACUGUUCUGACGGUACCCAAAGAAUAAGCACCGGCUAACUUCGUG
Molecule: ribosomal RNA, 492 nt
Filed under: uncultured bacterium
Lineage: Bacteria
Description: partial 16S ribosomal RNA
Rfam family: Bacterial small subunit ribosomal RNA
Source: RNAcentral